RNAcentral lists this ribosomal RNA (542 nucleotides) under Philautus refugii. Its description in RNAcentral is "partial 16S ribosomal RNA". It matches the Rfam family "Bacterial large subunit ribosomal RNA", at positions 1832 to 2597 of the family's 2925-position model. Lineage: Eukaryota; Metazoa; Chordata; Amphibia; Anura; Rhacophoridae. The record is from RNAcentral.
CGCCUCUUGUUUAAUAAUAAGAGGUCCAGCCUGCCCAGUGAUAAAUUCAACGGCCACGGUACCCUAACCGUGCAAAGGUAGCACAAUCACUUGUUCUUUAAAUAAGGACUAGUAUCAACGGCACCACGAGGGUUAUACUGUCUCCUUCCUCCAAUCAGUGAAACUGAUCUCCCCGUGAAGAAGCGGGGAUAAUACUAUAAGACGAGAAGACCCCGUGGAGCUUUAUACUUUCGGCAACCAAAUCUCUCACUUCCCUAUAAUCUUAAAGCUUUGCCCACUAGUCUUAGAUUGGGGUGAUCGCGGAGCAAAAAUCAACCUCCAUGACGAAAACUAUUUUAUCCGAGACUUACAACUCUAAGAAUUAGAACACUAACGCUCAUGACCCGACAAACGAUCAACGAACCAAGUUACCCCGGGGAUAACAGCGCAAUCUACUUCAAGAGCCCAUAUCGACAAGUAGGCUUACGACCUCGAUGUUGGAUCAAGGUAUCCCAGUGGUGCAGUCGCUACUAAUGGUUUGUUUGUUCAACAAUUAAAACCUU